RNAcentral lists this unclassified non-coding RNA (331 nucleotides) under soil metagenome. RNAcentral's name for it is "partial contains 5.8S ribosomal RNA, internal transcribed spacer 2, and large subunit ribosomal RNA". The stretch from base 1 to 121 matches the Rfam family "5.8S ribosomal RNA", at positions 35 to 154 of the family's 154-position model. The record is from RNAcentral.
GAUGAAGAACGUAGCGAAUUGCGAUAAGUAAUGUGAAUUGCAGAUUUUCAGUGAAUCAUCGAAUCUUUGAACGCACAUUGCGCCCCUUGGUAUUCCGAGGGGCAUGCCUGUUCGAGCGUCAUUUCAACCCUCAAGCACAGCUUGGUCUUGGGCUUCGCCGCUAACCCGGCGGGUCUUAAAAUCAGUGGCGGUGCCGUCGGGCCCUGAGCGCAGUAAUCUCUCUCGCUAUAGGGUCCCGGCGGAUGCUGGCCAGUAACCCCCAAUUUUCUAUGGUUGACCUCGGAUCAGGUAGGGAUACCCGCUGAACUUAAGCAUAUCAAUAAGCGGAGGA